UGGGCAAUGAGGAAAACAAUUUCAAAACACCAUCUUUCGGGACUGAAUGGCUUCUAAAGCCUUGCUGUUAUUCUGCAAUUCUGAGCCCC
Molecule: non-coding RNA, 89 nt
Organism: Gossypium hirsutum (cotton)
Lineage: Eukaryota; Viridiplantae; Streptophyta; Magnoliopsida; Malvales; Malvaceae
Source: Rfam